UGGCCCCUCGUCCAACGGCAGGACACCAGACUUUGGAUCUGGGUAUGGUGGUUCGAAUCCACCGGGGCCAAUCA
This 74-nucleotide transfer RNA is filed under the name Gemmatimonadetes bacterium 13_1_40CM_4_69_8. RNAcentral's name for it is "tRNA-Gln". It matches the Rfam family "tRNA". From Rfam's summary of the family: Transfer RNA (tRNA) molecules are approximately 80 nucleotides in length. Their secondary structure includes four short double-helical elements and three loops (D, anti-codon, and T loops). The record is from RNAcentral. Lineage: Bacteria; Pseudomonadati; Gemmatimonadota.